RNAcentral lists this ribosomal RNA (439 nucleotides) under uncultured bacterium. Its description in RNAcentral is "partial 16S ribosomal RNA". It matches the Rfam family "Bacterial small subunit ribosomal RNA", at positions 339 to 795 of the family's 1533-position model. The record is from RNAcentral.
CUACGGGUUGCUGCAGUGAGGAAUAUUGCACAAUGGGGGAAACCCUGAUGCAGCAACGCCGCGUGGAGGAUGACGCAUUUCGGUGUGUAAACUCCUUUUAUGUGUCAAGAAAAUGACGGUAGCUCAUGAAUAAGCACCGGCUAACUCCGUGCCAGCAGCCGCGGUAAUACGGAGGGUGCAAGCGUUACUCGGAAUCACUGGGCGUAAAGGACGCGUAGGCGGGUUGGAAAGUCAGGUGUGAAAUCCUACAGCUUAACUGUAGAACUGCACUUGAAACUGCGAACCUAGAGUAUGGGAGGGGGAGAUGGAAUUAGUGGUGUAGGGGUAAAAUCCGUAGAUAUCACUAGGAAUACCGAAAGCGAAGGCGAUCUCCUGGAACAUUACUGACGCUAAGGCGUGAAAGCGUGGGGAGCAAACAGGAUUAGAUACCCGCGUAGUC